Molecule: ribosomal RNA, 497 nt
Filed under: uncultured bacterium
Lineage: Bacteria
Description: partial 16S ribosomal RNA
Rfam family: Bacterial small subunit ribosomal RNA
Source: RNAcentral
GAUGAACGCUGGCGGCGUGCCUAAUACAUGCAAGUCGAGCGAACAGACGAGGAGCUUGCUCCUCUGACGUUAGCGGCGGACGGGUGAGUAACACGUGGAUAACCUACCUAUAAGACUGGGAUAACUUCGGGAAACCGGAGCUAAUACCGGAUAAUAUAUUGAACCGCAUGGUUCAAUAGUGAAAGACGGUUUUGCUGUCACUUAUAGAUGGAUCCGCGCCGCAUUAGCUAGUUGGUAAGGUAACGGCUUACCAAGGCAACGAUGCGUAGCCGACCUGAGAGGGUGAUCGGCCACACUGGAACUGAGACACGGUCCAGACUCCUACGGGAGGCAGCAGUAGGGGAUCUUCCGCAAUGGGCGGAAGCCUGGCGGAGCAACGCCGCGUGAGUGAUGAAGGUCUUCGGAUCGUAAAACUCUGUUAUUAGGGAAGAACAAAUGUGUAAGUAACUAUGCACGUCUUGACGGUAACUAAUCAGAAAGCCACGGCUAACUACGUG